CGGCGGACGGGUGAGUAACGCGUGGGUAACCUGCCUUACACUGGGGGAUAACAGUUAGAAAUGGCUGCUAAUACCGCAUAAGCAUACAGUGCCGCAUGGCACGGUGUGAAAAACUCCGGUGGUGUAAGAUGGACCCGCGUCUGAUUAGCUAGUUGGUAGGGUAACGGCCUACCAAGGCGACGAUCAGUAGCCGACCUGAGAGGGUGACCGGCCACAUUGGGACUGAGACACGGCCCAA
This 238-nucleotide ribosomal RNA is filed under the name uncultured bacterium. RNAcentral describes it as "partial 16S ribosomal RNA". It matches the Rfam family "Bacterial small subunit ribosomal RNA", at positions 96 to 334 of the family's 1533-position model. The record is from RNAcentral.